GCUCGAGGUAUCGUGGCUGGUCCGGCUGGUGCCAUCUGGCCUUAUCGGUUUAUCACUGGCGUUUUGGCUCAC
This is a non-coding RNA of Aspergillus fumigatus Af293, 72 nucleotides long. NCBI's taxonomy places the organism in Eukaryota, Fungi, Ascomycota, Eurotiomycetes, Eurotiales, Aspergillaceae. The record is from the annotation of a RefSeq genome assembly.